UUCAGAGGUCCCAAGCGUUACUGAGAAUCACUGGGUUUAAAGGGUGCGUAGGUGGUCCGUUAAGUCGAUUCUGAAAUCCCUGGGCUCAACCCAGGAACGGCUCUCGAUACUGGCGGACUUGAGGCCGGUAGGGGUCACUGGAACUGACGGUGGAGCGGUGAAAUGCGUAGAUAUCGUCAGGAACGCCGGUGGUGAAGACGGGUGACUGGGCCGGUUCUGACACUGAGGCACGAAAGCGUGGGGAGCGAACGGG
RNAcentral lists this ribosomal RNA (253 nucleotides) under uncultured bacterium. RNAcentral describes it as "partial 16S ribosomal RNA". It matches the Rfam family "Bacterial small subunit ribosomal RNA", at positions 524 to 776 of the family's 1533-position model. The record is from RNAcentral.